CCAAAAUGACCCUACAUUUCCCACCUUUGCCCUUCGCGCUCUAAUAGGAGAUUCCGCCUUCGCUUCCGUACCCUUACCUCCUUCCCCUCCGCUGCGCCACCGGAGCCCUCGCCGGAGCCAUAAUCGAAGUCCUUGCCGGAGGCUUUGCGUGAGACCUUGCCAUAGCCGUCGUUCGACAAGGGGGAGAAAGGAGAGAGCCAAACCACUAUAGUGGGGCUCGGGGUUUAGCCAAUCUAGCGAUGAGCAUCCUUCUUCGACACCGUCCGCUUCUCCCUUUGCGUCGAUGUCGAUCUGCUUCGCCACACCACCAUCCAUGACCUCCUCUCCGCACUCCACAUCGUCGCCGCAAACCGCCGCGUCAAGUUGCAUGUCACACCUCGAGGCCUGUUUGGUAAAAGCUUUUGUAAAAGAUACUAUUUUAGAUAUCAGAGUUGCGGGAAAACGUGCCAAAAUUUUUUUCUUCUUCUGCAGUCGGCGUAUCUGACAUGCUUCCCGGCGAACCUGUCUCUCAGCAUCAGACAUUCUUCACCCCAAUGACGAAGCGAAACGAACACAUGAGAGUCUUUUCGAAGGCGUUUGUUCGACUGAAAGAGAUAAUGGGAGUGACCCGUCCGAAGAAUUAGAAGAAGAAGAAGAAUCGAUCCGAAUAGACUGAGGAUUUACCUCGGUUGAAACAGGGUCAAUUGGGGAUGAUUGAGGAAGGUCCUUCUCUAUAGUUGAUGGAACAUCAGCUGAAGAUACAUCUUCGGUAGGUAUGGGAAUUGGAGAAUGAACCUUCUUCGCAACAGAUUUGUGCCACUUUGGUUGUGGUGGAAGAGUAGAUUGUUCGGUUUUCAUCAGUCGUUUCUCUGAACGGGGGACUGAUGAAGUAGUUGGAAUCAGCUGAAAGGGAAAUAUUUAGUUAAAUGCACUUCAUAAAAGAAAAGGUGUUAAAAUUGAAACUCACUGUAGAAGGACAAAGUGAAUCAUCAGGGUCUCGAUUAGAGUUAUCCCCUGAUUCUUCUUGUGGAGGGGGAUCGAGUGAGAUGUCCUUGUUCAAAAAAGGUACUGCAACAAAAUGAACAAAAUAAGCCGAAGAAGAAAACUAAGCAUGAAAACAGAUCAAUUAGUAAGCAGUAUACCUUCAGGAUGAAGAAGUUUACGAAAUGCUUGUGACGUCAUCGGAAUGAAGGUUCGCUCACAAAAAGCAUCCCAAGACGUUGUAAAAUGAAAGCCCACUACCCCUGUGUGAUUCGGCCUGAAGCUUACUAAUUCGAAGAAGCGUCGUAGACGGUUCCUCAUGGCCAAAAUCCGAUUAGCUUCGGCCGUGCUCCUAGUAGGAGGACGGCUAACAGUAGUAUUGGCCGUAAAAAAUAUGGCCGGUGCAGGAAUCUCCUGGACGAACCCAAUCUGUCGUGCCACAUUCUAGGGAAAAUAAACUUCAGUACUGGGUAUUAACUUAGAGCGUAUUUUCAGCCCAACGUGCAGAUCUUGGGUCGCACGUAAAGAGAACCAAACAUCUGAGUAUUCGCUGGCUUGAGAAGAGGCCAGUUGACCUUGGAUAGCUUCGUACCGGGCGAGAAACCAAGAUAGACCGGUGACUCGUUCUCCAAAUAGAGCCCAUGAGAUGAGACGAUGAUGACGCGAUUUGUAAAAAACUUUGAAAUAAUUGUUGUAUUCAUAUGGGUGGCCUGAGGAUAUAGGCACUAGACAGCCGAGAGUCAACCCAUAAGUGUCAAAAUGAGGAGCCGAAUCCAUAUCCAAAGGAGUUCGGCACAGAGAAGGAAAAUAAAUUUGCAAACACAUUUGCAGAAACCACAAAACGCCACAGCUAGAACCGAUUGCUAAACCCUCUCCGGAUGGCAGUGGCUUGAUUGAAUAAAAAAUUUCUCUAUAUACGAAAGCAAGAAAAUAUACACCUAAGGCUAAUUAUUCGCUGUUAGCCAAACCUACGGCGAUUGGAAUAAAAUCUCGAUUGAUCUUUUGUGACUGAGUACAGAAGAGGUUAUGAUACAACCAGUAAAGAAGGAAAGCUGUAUGUUCCUUCCUAGUAACUAGAGCAGGGGACUGACCUGCGAACCGACGGAUGAACUUAGUGUAAGCUAGAUCAGCUAUGUCGAGAUGGGCCUCAAAAUCAGUCACGCCGUAAGGAUUAUAGGCCAUCGAAAGAGUAGAGAUGGGCCUCAAAAUCAGUCACACCGUCAGGAUUAUAGGCCAUCGAAAGAGUAAUGCCAUGAGGGCGCAAACCAACGAUCGCUACUACAUCAAGGAGAGUAGGAGUAAAGGGUCAUGCUCUGAAAAGAAAGGUGUUGGAAACAGAAGACUAGAAUCAGAGAGCCGCAGCCAAAAGAAGGUUAUCGACUAUAGGAGGCAUUCUAGAUAACUGAAUGGCUUCAUAAAUCCCAACCUCGCGCCAAAGAUCGGCAUAUGACCCUUCGAUACGAUCUAACCAAGCAAGGUAUGCUUCUGAAACGCUCGGCGAAGUCCGAAGACUUUUUCCCGUUGAUGUCGAAGCAUACCGAGAAUGCAAGUGAAUGGCAUCAGCUAUUAAAGGAAGACCUUAACUUGAGAAAGGACAAUCCUCAGAGAUAGGAUCUUCUAUAAAUGAAGGACCCAAUAUAAAUUGAGAGGGGUUCGAUUCGACAUAUUGUCUAAGUAAAAUAUAAUCAAGGGACGAAAAUGAAGGAAGAGGAGAAAGCGGAGCCAUUGGAGAAGACAAUAACAAAAAAUUGAUUCUCAAGCGAAGAGGAAGAAGAGAGGAAGCGAAGGGAGAAGAGAGAAGAGAGAAAGAGUAGAGAAGAAGAAAAUAAAAGAGACAGAGAAAGAGAGCCGUCGGAUGGAUUCCAAAAACGGCUUUGAUGAUGAAAAGACAGCAGCAAUAAAUGAUCUAAUUAAUGCUGCAGAAGAGACAAAAAGAAGUGUGGGAGAUCAUGGCAGUCAAGGGUGAAAGGACGGCCUCGGGAAAGAAUAGUACAAGGCGAUUUGAAAUAAUGGUUUCGAGAAUCGCGCCUUUAAGGGGAAUUACGUCAGCUACCGAACCGUCUUUUUUGGAGAUGCCGAGAGGGCAAUUGUUGGUGCCAAUAGAGUAGUGCCACGUGGUGAACUGGUGCACAGCUCAGCCAGGGACUCCAAAGCUAGAAAAAAUGACAUAUGGUGCGCUGGGAGUAGAGGAUGAAUAGCAGCAAACCGCAGAUGAUUUUCAUGCGGUUAAGAUCGGCUUGUAGUGGCCCAAAAAAUAAGGAGAAGUGGCCGAUCAUGUAGAUAACUGAAUAACAACAGACGGAAUAUAAAUAAACAAAUGACGCUUGGAAGAGGAGUCUUUUCCCUACGAAUAGAAGACCACUUUUCAAUUUUUAUGCAUUUUCCUUGCAUCUCUAGGAGUAGUCUACUUAUAAUCUUUUCUUUCCGUAUUUACCGUCUUUUUUAUGAGUAGUCUUUAAGUUAGAUUUCCAGAGUCUGUAUGCCGCACGGGCACACUCUGUUUUGUACGAGUGUCCAAACUUAGCUUUAAUAUAUAAGGCACUCGGCUCUUUAGCCGAUCCAAAAAUAUUAUGCAUUCCGUA
This is a long non-coding RNA of Ananas comosus (pineapple), 3542 nucleotides long. RefSeq lists it as uncharacterized. Lineage: Eukaryota; Viridiplantae; Streptophyta; Magnoliopsida; Poales; Bromeliaceae. The record is from RefSeq and is a predicted model, not a curated record. The transcript has 3 exons.